UUAGCAGACAGACAGACAGGUAACGUGUUAGCAGAGAGAGACAGACAGGUAACGUGUUAGCAGACAGACAGACAGGUAACGUGUUAGCAGACAGACAGACAGGUAACGUGUUAGCAGACAGACAGACAGGUAACGUGUUAGCAGAGAGAGAGACAGACAGGUAACGUGUUAGCAGACAGACAGACAGGUAACGUGUUAGCAGACAGACAGACAGGUAACGUGUUAGCAGAGAGAGAGACAGGUAACGUGUUAGCAGACAGACAGACAGGUAAC
This is a long non-coding RNA of Pungitius pungitius (ninespine stickleback), 273 nucleotides long. RefSeq lists it as uncharacterized. The record is from RefSeq and is a predicted model, not a curated record. NCBI's taxonomy places the organism in Eukaryota, Metazoa, Chordata, Actinopteri, Perciformes, Gasterosteidae. The transcript has 3 exons.